Molecule: non-coding RNA, 1097 nt
Organism: Phascolarctos cinereus (koala)
Lineage: Eukaryota; Metazoa; Chordata; Mammalia; Diprotodontia; Phascolarctidae
Source: RefSeq, a predicted model, not a curated record
UGAAGCUGUUGGGCGAGGCUUUCUAGCCUCCCCUGGGUCGGGCCUCCGACAAUUAAAAAACUUGAGUGAUCCUAAAAAAGAACUAUUCCGUGGGGACAUUAUCACCCUGAAGUAGAGGCCUCCAGACAACCCCAUCCUGUAUUCCGGUCUUUGAGGGUCUCAACCUCUCAGAGGGCAACACUAAUUAGAGCAAUUCCUGACCAUUCGGCGUGAGGAGCUCCAGACCUGGGUUCUAGAGUAUCAUCCAGAGAGUGGAGAAGAGGCAGUGACUAUUUUGGAAGAUUUGGAAAGAAAACUUGAUGAACCAAGACAGCAGGUCUCAUCCUGUGUAUGUGGAAAUGAAUCAAGCUCAGAAGUGCCUUUUGGAGCAGCACCAGAGUUAUUGAAUAACCCACUUGAGCCCAUGAGGAGCCUACUAAAGCAUGAAUCUUCAGAGUCCAAGCUCAUUCAAGAGAGAGGCACCACCACUAUGGGUGAUGUGCAAGGGCCACUGAAUUCUAUGAUGAUGCCAUUAAUCAACAUUUUUAAAAAAAUGGUUUCUGAGAUCCUCCAUCAUAGAAAGAGAAAUCCUCAUAGAUAUUUCUUUGAAUGAUUGACAAUCAGGGAGCUAGAUUGUGUGGGUUGUACCUCAAGCACCUCCCACAUCUCACUUGUGCAAUGAAAACACACUUGUUCUCUUGCUGAGUUCCAGCCUAAACCUAUCCUUUCACUUUUAUGGUACUGGAAAUUUCUCAAAGUCAAAUACCUCAAGAUCCAUAUAAGAGAGUUAACAGGCAGGACUCCUGUCGUGUUCAGUAGAACCUAUCUCUAUCCUCUUGUAAGUCUCUGCAUAGCCAGCAUGGAUGGUCAAAGUAUGCAAGUAUUGUGUCCUAGCAUAUUGCCUACAUUAUUCUGCUAGAAUUUUGAAAAGACUAGAAUUAGUUCUAAUCAAUGCUGACACUCUAGUGAGUUUAAGAGGGUCAGACAUACAAGAGCCACAAUAUUUACUUUUUUGUUGAUCCAGCAACUUCCUUGAGAAAUCCCAAGCUCACCUAGAUGUAUCCUAAAUCUGGAUCAUCUUUAUCACUCAAACCACCAGUUAUUUUAAAUGGAAUUUC